ACCAAUAGCAUCAUUCACAUCAUUAUGCCUGUACCAGUGAAAUAUAAGUGUACUAAAUGUGGAGGAGAAACAAAUUAUCCGAAUAUAUUAUGUUUAGAAUGUAUAGUUGAACAGAUUUCACGUGACGUAUAUGGUAUAAAACAUCCCUAAUACAACUGUUACGUCUAGUAGUAAUCGAGUUGCUUUCAAAGAAACACACACAGCGAUAAAAAUAUGUAUUUGUUGUACAUUAUUCUUCUACUUUCACAAAUUUGCAACAUCCUAACUUCAAAAGUUAUUUAUAUCAAUACACCAUACAAGUUGGAAAAUGGUAGCUUUUUAUUAAUGGAAGUACAUCCAGAUACGAUUAUUUUGAAUGAAUAUCCAGCUUUCUACUCUGAAAAAUCAAUACCGUUAUAUUCUACGGUAACAUGUAAGGACAAAGGAAAAAAGUAUAGGUGCGGAUACGUUAUUGGAUCACACGAAAACUUUCAUCCCAUUGUUCCAUUCAAAAGCCGAUUAAUGUGCGGACAUCAUAGCAUUGAACAAUUCCAUAAACCAUCCAUAACUUACAGAGGUUUCUGGUGGACAACUGUUGAAGAUUUUUAUGAAUAUGCAAAUAUUAAUCUCAAAAAAUAUUUAGCUUUACCAGAAAUUUGUUAUGUAUACUUAUUGUCAUCUAAAAAAGAUGAAUUUUUGAAAAUAACCCAUACAUUGUGAAUACCUACUAAUUAAUAAACGUUAAUAAAUUA
Molecule: long non-coding RNA, 731 nt
Organism: Leptinotarsa decemlineata (Colorado potato beetle)
Lineage: Eukaryota; Metazoa; Arthropoda; Insecta; Coleoptera; Chrysomelidae
Source: RefSeq, a predicted model, not a curated record